Long non-coding RNA from Pezoporus occidentalis (night parrot), 2669 nucleotides. RefSeq lists it as uncharacterized. Lineage: Eukaryota; Metazoa; Chordata; Aves; Psittaciformes; Psittacidae. The transcript has 6 exons. The record is from RefSeq and is a predicted model, not a curated record.
GCUGCUGCCGAGGUCUGCUGCCGGUGGGAUUUCUUACUUGCCUUUGCUUCACCUACUUUGGAAGUUUCUUCUUGGGUGACAGGCAUUUGCCAAGAAAGCUGGGAAGCAACCUUUCACUGUUUUUCCUUCUGUUUAAGAAACCCAGCAUGUAGGGAGUCACUUGGUUAUGAUUACUAGCACGUGAGUUUGGGGCAGUGCUCAAUGUAGUAGGUGAAGUAGUUUAUUUCCUUUAGGGGUGGAUGAACCUUGGGCACUCAAGCAUGUCAGGGAAUUAGGGGCUUAUUGGUUUUGGAGGACAAGGCAGCAGGGAGGUCCUGGUGACAAGUCCUUGAAGGACGCAGAAGUAACUGCAUGCCAAAGGAGCCCAGGAGACUAGGUCUAGGAAACCUAACCCAGGAGCCUUUUCUGGAGAAUGGGGAGAAUGCAGAAAGAAAAGGCUUUCACAGAGGAAGUAACAAAUUAGCAGGACCAGAAGACUGUGUGGAGGAAAGGAGGAAGCUGAGGGGUUGCCGGUGCAUUUACAAGCUGUUCUGAACAAGUUCUUUGGUGUGCCUGAGUGAGUCACACUGAUAGAAGAGCUCAAGGCCAGUGCUGUGCCAGAUACUUGCCCUCAGCAUGAGUACUGCCUGUAGAUGGUCCAUGUCACUGCGAAUGAGACCUAUCUGCCCUUGCAGCCAGAUGAAGCAUCUUUAUAAAGGCAACAGGAGAGGUGAGCACUCCUGAAGUUUUGCCUGUUGAGUGAACUUUGGCCACUGUGCCCAUCUGGGUGCACGGCUUAACGCUGAGAACAGGUGAUGCAGAGAACACACUGAAAGAGAAGGCAAUCCAGAAAGGCCAGUGAGAUGAAUGCUCCUAAGGGACUCUUCUGAGGGCUAGAAGGAAGAAGCCUGGGAGCACAGGCCAUUUUCUCUCCUUUCCCUAAAGCUCUCAGUCAUUCCUGCCCCUUCCUGCUUUCAUGAGAGAAGCUGAAGAGUCCCUCACCUUCCUCUUACUGCACAGCGGGUGGAAGAGGCUUGCUCACAGAAUGAAAGAAGAAGCAGGAAGAGGAAAAUAAACAGCUGAGUCAUUACUGAAAAAGAAACUCCAACCUAGCCUUCAGGAACAGGGAGGACUGGAAGGGGCUGGCCUGAAACCACAAACGUGGUGGUGGACCUCUACAAAGGCAGUCCCUCUCCAUCUGGCUCCCACAGAGGAUAUGGAGGAUACCAGGCAGCCCUUGCUCAGGGACAGUGGCAGCAUUCAGUGGGUUCCAGCUACUGGGAAAUAUGUGGAAAUUACAUGCUGGUCCUUAGGAAAAUGGAUAUUAGGAGCUCCCCUAUUGACAGCAAAGGGAAAAUUGCCAUUUUCUUGACUUCAGACUGCAUCGAGGCCCUGGUGAACAAGAGAUGCUUGGCUGAUUGUACAGUGGCUUAGAAACUGAAGGCGAGUUCAAAAGUUCCUAACAACACUUCCAAACAAGAACUUUGUGAACACAAUGCAAAAGCGACCAUGCAUAUUUACUGGAAUAAAAAAAACAAAUUAGCUUCAAGCUGGUUUUGUGAUUCCUCCCUGACUUGUAUGUUUACUUUUCAUUAUUAUUGAUUCCUUCUGACCUUCAAGUGCUUCUUCUGCAUUGUACAUGCUCCACAUUGAAUAGCUUACUGGCAAUAAUAUUAACAGCAACAGAAAAUGUUAACAAUAGAGACUACUUGCAUGGAGAGAUGUCACCUUGCGAAAAAAUGUGGGUUUUUUUUCAUCAGAAAAAAUCAUCUGGGGACCAAAAAUAAUACACUGUAUGACCUUGUAUAUAGCAAAACUGACUGGUAUUGCAUGAAUUUUGAUAUCAUAGCAAAUGACUGACAAGCAGUGCAGAGACAUAUGAUCCAUCCUGAAAACAGCUCAGACAUGAGAUUGAUACAUAAGAUUAGGAAGCCAUAACCUCUAGGUGACCCAUAUGGAAAUGAGAGCAAGACUCAAUUCAAUGAGUAAAAUGCUUGCUUCAGCCAAAAUGAAGAAGUUUUGCAUUGAUUUAAUUUUUGCCUUUGACUUUUUUACCACUGCUCUUUGAUAGCCUUGUCAGCAGCCAAGUUUCCACUCUCAUAGCCAUCAGUGAUUUGGGAGCGUGGUUGAAGAGUGCUUCUGAAGAUGUGUCUCCCUUGGCAUCUGCCAGGGUUCCUGUAGCUGUGCUGGUCCCUUCUAACUCUUGGCCUGGGUUUACUUCAGCUGCCUCCCCCUGUCCUUAUGGGAGAGACAGUGAGGCAAUGGCAAAAGUUGCUUCCUCCUCUGUUUCUGAAGUAUCUAUUCCAUGAAGGGGUGCAUUGCUUUCGGGAGCUGACAUUCUCCCCUAGGUGCAAUCAGAGCCUAGAGAUCCAGCCUGCUGCACUAGACACACUGCAUACCUAGAGUUACAUGUAAUAUAUCCAGGCCCUGAUGUUCCUUUGCUAAUUGAUUUCUUCAUCAUGGGCUAGCCUGUUCAGUAAGCAAAAUUUUCCUAGGAGGCAAAAAUGCCUUUUGCUCUGUUUUCCAUGGGGAGCUCUUGUAGAAUAAGGACUAUGGAACAGCUUACUUUGAAAUAGCUGUGCCAGGAGUCCUUCUGCCCUUCUUCCCAGGGUGAAAUUUGUUUUUGUUUUUGUUUUAGUACUAUGGAAAAAAUCCUCUUUCCAUAAGAAGCAGCUGAACACAAAAACCUU